GCCGCGGUGCUGGAAUUGGUAGACAGGCAGGACUUAAAAUCCUGUGUCCCUUAAGGACGUGUGGGUUCGACUCCCACCCGCGGCACCA
This 88-nucleotide transfer RNA is filed under the name Pseudomonadota bacterium. Its description in RNAcentral is "tRNA-Leu". It matches the Rfam family "tRNA". Rfam says of the family: Transfer RNA (tRNA) molecules are approximately 80 nucleotides in length. Their secondary structure includes four short double-helical elements and three loops (D, anti-codon, and T loops). The record is from RNAcentral. RNAcentral also lists the same sequence under 1 other name. Lineage: Bacteria; Pseudomonadati; Pseudomonadota.